RNAcentral lists this ribosomal RNA (495 nucleotides) under Cyphocharax leucostictus. RNAcentral's name for it is "partial 16S ribosomal RNA". It matches the Rfam family "Bacterial large subunit ribosomal RNA", at positions 1812 to 2606 of the family's 2925-position model. Lineage: Eukaryota; Metazoa; Chordata; Actinopteri; Characiformes; Curimatidae. The record is from RNAcentral.
AACAUCGCCUCCUGCAAAAAUCAAUGUAUAGGAGGUCCUGCCUGCCCAGUGACAACUUGUUAAACGGCCGCGGUAUUUUGACCGUGCUAAGGUAGCGCAAUCACUUGUCUUUUAAAUGAAGACCUGUAUGAAUGGUGGAACGAGGGCUUAACUGUCUCCCUUCUCCCGUCAAUGAAAUUGAUCUGCCCGUGCAGAAGCGGACAUAUAUAUACAAGACGAGAAGACCCUUUGGAGCUUAUUGGGGCGACCGCGGGGGAAAACAAAGCCCCCACGUAAUACCGAGAGAGACAUCUCUAAGCCACAGAAUAUCUGACCAAAAGAUCCGGCUCAUAGGCCGAUCAACGAACCAAGUUACCCUAGGGAUAACAGCGCAAUCCCCUCCAAGAGUUCAUAUCGACGAGAGGGUUUACGACCUCGAUGUUGGAUCAGGACAUCCUAAUGGUGCAGCCGCUAUUAAGGGUUCGUUUGUUCAACGAUUAAAGUCCUACGUGAUCU